UCAUGGCUCAGGAUGAACGCUAGCUACAGGCUUAACACAUGCAAGUCGAGGGGCAGCAUGAACUUAGCUUGCUAAGUUUGAUGGCGACCGGCGCACGGUGAGUAACACGUAUCCAACCUUCCGUUUACUCAGGGAUAGCCUUUCGAAAGAAAGAUUAAUACCUGAUAGUAUGGUGAGAUUGCAUGAUAGCACCAUUAAAGAUUUAUUGGUAAACGAUGGGGAUGCGUUCCAUUAGGUAGUAGGCGGGGUAACGGCCCACCUAGCCGACGAUGGAUAGGGGUUCUGAGAGGAAGGUCCCCCACAUUGGAACUGAGACACGGUCCAAACUCCUACGGGAGGCAGCAGUGAGGAAUAUUGGUCAAUGGGCGAGAGCCUGAACCAGCCAAGUAGCGUGAAGGAUGAAGGUCCUACGGAUUGUAAACUUCUUUUAUACGGGAAUAAAGUAUCCUACGUGUAGGAUUUUGUAUGUACCGUAUGAAUAAGCAUCGGCUAACUCCGUG
RNAcentral lists this ribosomal RNA (500 nucleotides) under uncultured bacterium. RNAcentral's name for it is "bacterial SSU rRNA". It matches the Rfam family "Bacterial small subunit ribosomal RNA", at positions 17 to 507 of the family's 1533-position model. The record is from RNAcentral.